UUUCCACACUUUGGGGUCAUGGGUUAUGGCCCACAUGUUCACCAUGGCGGUUGUGUUGGCGGGAACCAGCAUCCCGUUGCUGAGCUGGACGUCCGACGUGGACAGCCUAGCCCAAGAAAGCAAUGGCCCUGGGGGAUGGAUCCGUAGGGUUUCUUUGACCACCGCCUGAAGGUAAGGUAAUUUCGCCACGUCAGCGUCGGUGAGGGUUUUGUUCCUCGUAGCACUGUCAAUUUCAAGUUGCAGCUUGGCUUGUACUUCCGGGUGCAAUACCAACUCAGCCAUGACCCACUCCGUUAACAAAGCAGUCGUAUCAGUUCCUCUGAAU
RNAcentral lists this long non-coding RNA (325 nucleotides) under Gossypium barbadense (sea-island cotton). RNAcentral's name for it is "long non-coding RNA (GBAR_LNC014720)". The record is from RNAcentral. Lineage: Eukaryota; Viridiplantae; Streptophyta; Magnoliopsida; Malvales; Malvaceae.